GCUGUGUGACACUGUCCUCUACUCAAAGGUGUACAAACCUGGAGGGCAGCAGGGACACAUGUUCAGUUGGUAUGAUACAGUACAGCUGCACCAUGACAUUGCUUGGGUGGAUGCUGAAAAAUCUGGAGGAAUUCCCUGGGGAAAUGUGGAGUUGGGAAAAAAAUAAUAAUAUGCCUGCUUCACCUACUGUUCCACUUUGUGCCUAACAAUGAGAACAAAGUGACUUAUUUUUCAGAAAUGCCUUGGACCAGCUGUGACUGAACAGCACAAGAGCUGUUUCAUGUUCCCAAUACUGCCCAAAAUGUUCAAGGCAUUUUCCAGGUGGAAGGAAGUUAGAGCUAAAGAGACACAGAAGAGAGAGGAAGGAUAUUCAAGGCAGCAGGAGUACUGAAAAGCUCCUUGCUUCUCCUGCUCUGUGGCAGAAGAUACUAAAUUAAGAUUUGUAGAAGGCUUUGACAUGAGUAAUUAUAUGUCUGACUUCUCAAAUUUUAUGCCGGCAAAAAACACCCUCUGAACUCGUGUGUUGGGACCCAGCUUGUAAGCGUCUUGCUUUAUCCCACUCCAGCAUCAUCACCACCUCUUGUUUGAGAUGUGGAUUUUCAUCCUGUCCUUGCUGGUUAAGACCAGUGAAUCAUUUCAGGUAGAAGUUAAGGUAAAAUAUUUCUUGGUGUAUGUCUUUUUGUGCUACCUGUCUUCAGGUAAGUGGCUUCCUAUUGCUGUUGAACGUUCUAGGAUAGCAAGUUUCUGCAGGUGACCUUCUCCAGGACUUCUCACCCUUACCAACCUCUUUUCCAUCUACACCCAAGGGGCUGACCCACAACCGAAGCACCGAGGGGCCAAGCCUCCCAAGAUCAUCAUCUUCCCAACCACUCUGUGUGGUGAAGUCUUGGCAUCAUACAUGGAGCAGCAGUUUACAAGAGCCCCUAUGACUGACCAGAGAUCUCCCCCACCCUGCUGUCACAUCGCUGCCUACGACGCGGCCGACUGAUGGCUGGCUCAGUGCCGCACUGCUGAUUCGGCGGGUGCCCUCCCAAUACCGUCCGUACAGCGACGACGGUGAACGCGUAAUGCCCACGACAAGUAUUCAGCCAAAGGGAGCACGAACCGAUGCGCUCGCUGUUUAAUAUGCAAUGAAAAUGAGUCUCAGCUAAACUCGCUGCACACAUCCAUUACGUGAGAGAAGCGUCAAUAUUUCUGUAAAUCCACCAGGGAAUUUAUUCGUCUCAGCCUCCAGCAACGGUGAAUUACCCUGGUGACUGGUGCAAUUUGGAAGCAUGUACAGCCAUAAUGAGAAAGUACCGUGGUUUCCUUUAAAGUAAUAUAGUGGUUAUUGCUGAUAGUUACUGCCUUUGUGAAGUAUUAACGCGUGGUUAUAGCGCAGUCAUGAAGCAAAAUUAUAGGGGCCUGCAGAAUGUUACUUAGCAACACUUGCUAAUGUUGGGGUGGUAAUGAAGAAAUGGAGCAAAAGAAAUACAGAGUAUAUUGGAGUCAUAAAAUAAACUGUGGUGUGACUUGAGAAAGUUGUUCUGAAGAUGAAGAUGAUGUCUAUUUCUUUUUGCCAUGUGAAUAAGGUAGGAGAACUUAAGAGCUGAUUUGAAGCAACACGUUUGAAAUAUCUAAGUAACAGAAACAAGAAUUAUGGGUUUGGUGUUGGUUUGUUUUUUUUUUUUUUUUAUCGUUGCUGCUGCCUGGGAAAAGCAUCAGAAUUGCUGGCCUUUUGAAGAUCCUCUCCCUGUCAUUUCAAACCCAUCCUGAGACACUAGCUGGCCAAUUAAAAUAGGAAACCAGCAUUUGUCAGAGUUAAUGAAGGCUUCUUUCUACUACAUCUAUUUUCCCCAUUCAUUCAUUACGUAACUCCCUCCACUGUUAAUCAAGUGCCUGUAGGCAUAUCUCAAGAAAAGGGUAAGGCCAUAAAAAUAAAGGCAGACAUUUCUAGUAAUACAUGAACCUUCUACAUGUUGCAGAUCUGUCUCAGACACUUAUCUUAGUUUAUCUCCACCUGUUUAAAUUGGAAAACUCACAAAAAUCCAUCUCCUGUGAGAUUUCCAAGGUUUCUUGAUUUCAUUUGGGUCAGAACUUCCACAAGAGAUGCAUUUCUCAGAGCACUUCUGAGCUGCUGCCAGGAACAGGGAGUGCUGGAGUGUGCCACUUAAAAAAAAAAAAAAAAGGUUUUCUUUGAAAAGUCAGCAGAUUUUAUAAGCUUAAAAAAAAUUAGCCUAGUUCAGUCUCAGAUAUGAUUAAAAGAGCUGCCCUGAUUUAGGGGUGUCAAACAAAGUAUGUUUGAGUAGAGCAUCAUUUUGUAAUGGAAAAAGUGUUAGUGGAAGAACUGCCUAUCGGCACUGCUUGGACUGGAUGAGGACUGAGACUUAAAUUAUAAGAGUCUUUAAUACUGGAGAAAAGGAAGACUGCUAAACGUGUUGUAACUAGAAGGCCAUCUCUUGGUCUCCCGGCUAAAGGUAGCUGUGAAGACAACCUCAACAACAUCUGGAGUUCUGCUGAUUAAAUAAUAGAUAUUUGCCUGCUUUGCACCUCACCCUGGCCCUGCAAAGCGAACAGGAAGAAGUUUCUCAUUCCUAUGCCACCAGGAGUGCUGAGCCAUGAACAUGGAGUGAUGGUCUGGGGAAUGUUUCAUGGGAGAAACUUUCUGUAUACAUGAAUUUAAUAAAAACAUAAUAUUCUCUAGUUGGUAAUAUA
Harpia harpyja (harpy eagle) is the source of this 2694-nucleotide long non-coding RNA. RefSeq lists it as uncharacterized. The record is from RefSeq and is a predicted model, not a curated record. The transcript is spliced from 3 exons. Lineage: Eukaryota; Metazoa; Chordata; Aves; Accipitriformes; Accipitridae.